UAAUACUUUCACAACAAUUAUUAUCAAAGUUAUGCUUAAUUAUUUCAAAAUAAAUCUACUGAGUCCAACUAAGCUUAUUGUUAAGCGUCUUUCAUAGCUGUCUUUUGUUUUACCAUAGCAAUGGAAAGGGCAGUAAAGUAGAAUAAACUCUAUUGUUAAGUCGCCAAAAAAGACAUUGUCUCUAAUUCAAUAUGAACGAAGUACACAACUUUGUUUUUUAAGGCUACCGACUCAAAGCUACAGUUUUUUUGCCGUACAGUUUGACAUUGAAGAUUUUUGAAGUGAAAACUUCUUUAGAAUCGUUGUGAUUUCAAACCGGAUGCAACGGAAAAAACGACAGAAAUUCCAGGAAAUAUAGAGUUUGGAUUUCUAUGAUUAAAGGCUCUGCACGACCUGACUGUGCAAAAGGAACGCAUAAAACUUUUAUAAUAGUCAUAAAAACGAAACGCUGCAGCGCUGCACAGAUCGGAUUUUAAUAAGAACUAACUUAGAUUGGAGUUGAGAACGCCUGAAUGUACAAUGGACUUCAAAAGUGCAUGAAUAAAAAAACAAAAUGAGUGAAACACACCAAAAAAUAUUGCACACUAAUAAUAUUUUUUUUCAUUUUUA
Molecule: long non-coding RNA, 609 nt
Organism: Bombyx mori (domestic silkworm)
Lineage: Eukaryota; Metazoa; Arthropoda; Insecta; Lepidoptera; Bombycidae
Exons: 2
Source: RefSeq, a predicted model, not a curated record